UUUUUUUGGUAAUGUUCUUGGUGUUGGCA
This 29-nucleotide non-coding RNA is filed under the name Rattus norvegicus (Norway rat). The record is from RNAcentral. Lineage: Eukaryota; Metazoa; Chordata; Mammalia; Rodentia; Muridae.